RNAcentral lists this ribosomal RNA (923 nucleotides) under Hanusia phi. Its description in RNAcentral is "partial large subunit ribosomal RNA". It matches the Rfam family "Eukaryotic large subunit ribosomal RNA", at positions 95 to 963 of the family's 3401-position model. The record is from RNAcentral. Lineage: Eukaryota; Cryptophyceae; Pyrenomonadales; Geminigeraceae.
GAAGCGGGAAGAGCUCAAGCUGAGAAUCUUCGGAAUUGUAGUCUAUGGGCGCUGUCUCGGCUGGAGCUGNGGUAUAAAUCCGNCCUGGGAUGCGGUUGCCAGAGAGGGUUCGAGCCCCGUCUUUGACCCAGGGUACAGCUAGAUGAGGGAGUGCCGGCGAGUCGGCUUGCUUGGGAAUGCAGGUCAAAGUGGGUGGUAAACUCCAUCUAAAGCUAAAUAUUGGCGAGAGACCGAUAGCGAACAAGUACUGUGAAGGAAAGAUGGAAAGAACUUUGAAAAGAGAGUGAAAUAGGGCUUGAAAUUGUUAAGAGGCAAGUGGAUGGAGCAUAUCAUGCUCGAGGGGGUCAGAGGUGCCCUUCGGGGCAUUGUCACGCCCUCGGGCUGGUCAGCAUCGGUUCUGGCGGUGGGAGAAAGCCGUAGACGGGUCGCCCCCUGGGCGGCUCGGGUGCGGGGAAACCACGGCGGGGACCGAGGCAGGAAGGGCGCGCUAGGCGGACGGCCCUCGCGAUGCCAACGGCAGUCGCUCGUACCCUACGGUGUGCGGGCGGGGGCUGGGGGUAAGUGCGGGGAGCGCUGGACCGGCGCCCUGAAGAUGCUGGCACAAGUGGCUUCAACCAGCCCGUCUUGAAACACGGACCAAGGAGUCUAACACAUAUGCGAGUAGUAAGGUGGCAAACCUUGGGUGCGAAAUGAAAGUGAGAGGUGGGACCCGCAAGGAGCACCAUCGACCGACCGCGUUUAGAGUAGGUUUGAGUAAGAGCAUAUUUGUUGGGACCCGAAAGAUGGUGAACUAUGCCUGAAUAGGGUGAAGCCAGAGGAAACUCUGGUGGAGGCUCGUAGCGGUACUGACGUGCAAAUCGUUCGUCAAAUUUGGGUAUAGGGGCGAAAGACUAAUCGAACCAUCUAGUAGCUGGUUCCCUCCG